This is a long non-coding RNA of Eriocheir sinensis (Chinese mitten crab), 1096 nucleotides long. RefSeq lists it as uncharacterized. Lineage: Eukaryota; Metazoa; Arthropoda; Malacostraca; Decapoda; Varunidae. The transcript has 3 exons. The record is from RefSeq and is a predicted model, not a curated record.
UGGAAUGAUGGAAAAGGCUAGGUUAGGUUAGGUGGAUGGGUCGUGGAAUGGUAGGAAAGGUUAGAUUAAGUUAUUUUAGGUUAGUUGGAAGGCUUGUGGAAUGAUGGAAAAGACUAGGUUAGGUUAGGUGGAUGGGUCGUGGAAUGGUAGGAAAGGUUAGAUUAAGUUAGGUUAUGUUAAAUAGAAGGCUUGUGGAAUAAUAGGAAAGGUUAGGUGCAAGGCUCGGGAAAUGAUAGGGAAUGUUAGGUUAGAUUGAGUCAGGUUAGGUUAGUUGGAAGGCUCGUGGAAUGAUGGAAAAGGUUAGGUUAGGUUAGGUGGAUGGGUCGUGGAAUAAUAGGAAAGGUUAGGUUAGAUUAGGUUAGGUUUGGUUAGAUGGAAGACUCUUGGAAUGAUAGGAAAGGCUAGGUUGGUUAGGUUAGGUGCAAGGCUCUGGGAAUGAUAGGGAAUGUUAGGUUAGAUUAAGUUAGGUUUGGUUAGAUGUAAGCCUCGUGGAAUGAUAGAAAAGGUUAGCUUGGUUAGGUUAAGUGCAAGGCUUGUGGAAUUAUAUGGGCGGCUUAGUCAUAGCCUUAGUAACUAUAGAUAGGAAAGGUUAGGUUAGGUUAGUUAUUGAUAGGAAAGGUUAGGUUAGGUUAGUUAUUGAUAGGAAAGGUUAGGUUAGGUUAGUUAUUGAUAGGAAAGGUUAGGUUAGGUUAGUUAUUGAUAGGAAAGGUUAGGUUAGGUUAGUUAUUGAUAGGAAAGGUUAGGUUAGGUUAGUUAUUGAUAGGAAAGGUUAGGUUAGGUUAGUUAUUGAUAGGAAAGGUUAGGUUAGGUUAGUUAUUGAUAGGAAAGGUUAGGUUAGGUUAGUUAUUGAUAGGAAAGGUUAGGUUAGGUUAGUUAUUGAUAGGAAAGGUUAGGUUAGGUUAGUUAUUGAUAGGAAAGGUUAGGUUAGGUUAGAUUAGAUGCAUGGCUUGUGGAAUUCCAUGAACGGCUUAGUUAUAGAUAGGAAAGGUUAGCAUUGAUUAUAUUGGGUUCAGUUAGAUGCAAGGACUUAUAUGGACUUAUAUGGACGUUGCUGAGAUUAUUGACGCAUCUUACACUGUGUUCAUCAAUCGCUUAU